Molecule: ribosomal RNA, 253 nt
Filed under: uncultured bacterium
Lineage: Bacteria
Description: partial 16S ribosomal RNA
Rfam family: Bacterial small subunit ribosomal RNA
Source: RNAcentral
UACGAAGGGGGCUAGCGUUGUUCGGAAUUACUGGGCGUAAAGCGCACGUAGGCGGAAUUGUAAGUCAGGGGUGAAAUCCCGGGGCUCAACCUCGGAACUGCCUUUGAUACUGCGAUUCUCGAGUUCGAUAGAGGUGGGUGGAAUUCCUGGUGUAGAGGUGAAAUUCGUAGAUAUUAGGAGGAACACCGGUGGCGAAGGCGGCCCACUGGAUCGGUACUGACGCUGAGGUGCGAAAGCGUGGGGAGCAAACAGG